This 325-nucleotide unclassified non-coding RNA is filed under the name Hevea brasiliensis (rubber tree). The record is from RNAcentral. Lineage: Eukaryota; Viridiplantae; Streptophyta; Magnoliopsida; Malpighiales; Euphorbiaceae.
GUCAAACCCAUGGGAGUGGCUCCUACACAAGGUCCAUUGAGAAGGAAUAUCCCUAGCCAACCGUAGAACAUUUAAUGCCCACAUUGUAUACCAAGUACUGGAUCAAAAUAAUUGUGUACUGUAUUAGUUAGUAACAAUGUAUCUGCCAAUGAUUAGACUGGUAAGACCAAUUCUCAAUCUAACAAACUAUCAGGAAUGCAUAACAUGGAUCAUUUUUCCCCAUUCAGAUCUUAUUAGGGUCAAACUUUCUAGCAGUUCUAGUGUGUAACUUUUUUUUCUUCCUUCUAAUCUUCUACCACUUGAAAUCACUUACUAGCAGAACCAG